RNAcentral lists this ribosomal RNA (434 nucleotides) under uncultured Lachnospiraceae bacterium. RNAcentral's name for it is "partial 16S ribosomal RNA". It matches the Rfam family "Bacterial small subunit ribosomal RNA", at positions 341 to 792 of the family's 1533-position model. The record is from RNAcentral. Lineage: Bacteria; Bacillati; Bacillota; Clostridia; Lachnospirales; Lachnospiraceae.
ACGGAAGGCAGCAGUGGGGAAUAUUGGACAAUGGGGGAAACCCUGAUCCAGCGACGCCGCGUGAGUGAAGAAGUAUUUCGGUAUGUAAAGCUCUAUCAGCAAGGAAGAAAAUGACGGUACUUGACUAAGAAGCUCCGGCUAAAUACGUGCCAGCAGCCGCGGUAAUACGUAUGGAGCAAGCGUUAUCCGGAUUUACUGGGUGUAAAGGGAGCGUAGACGGCAAAGCAAGUCCGAAGUGAAAUCCCGGGGCUCAACCCCGGAACUGCUUUGGAAACUGUUUAGCUAGAGUGCAGGAGAGGUAAGCGGAAUUCCUAGUGUAGCGGUGAAAUGCGUAGAUAUUAGGAGGAACACCAGUGGCGAAGGCGGCUUACUGGACUGUAACUGACGUUGAGGCUCGAAAGCGUGGGGAGCAAACAAGAUUAGAUACCCUGGUA